RNAcentral lists this non-coding RNA (29 nucleotides) under Rattus norvegicus (Norway rat). Lineage: Eukaryota; Metazoa; Chordata; Mammalia; Rodentia; Muridae. The record is from RNAcentral.
UCAUUAGUAGGUCCUAGAAGAGGCUAAUG